CAGUCGCCACGGUAAUACGAAGGGUGCAAGCGUUAAUCGGAAUUACUGGGCGUAAAGCGUGCGCAGGCGGUUCGCUAAGACAGAUGUGAAAUCCCCGGGCUUAGCCUGGGAACUGCAUUUGUGACUGGCGGGCUAGAGUAUGGCAGAGGGGGGUAGAAUUCCACGUGUAGCAGUGAAAUGCGUAGAGAUGUGGAGGAAUACCGAUGGCGAAGGCAGCCCCCUGGGCCAAUACUGACGCUCAUGCACGAAAGCGUGGGGAGCAAACAGGAUUAGAUACCCGUGUAGUCCCUGUCUCUUAUAC
RNAcentral lists this ribosomal RNA (301 nucleotides) under uncultured bacterium. Its description in RNAcentral is "partial 16S ribosomal RNA". It matches the Rfam family "Bacterial small subunit ribosomal RNA", at positions 509 to 807 of the family's 1533-position model. The record is from RNAcentral.